AUUGAACGCUGGCGGCAUGCCUUACACAUGCAAGUCGAACGGCAGCACGGGUGCUUGCACCUGGUGGCGAGUGGCGAACGGGUGAGUAAUACAUCGGAACAUGUCCUGUAGUGGGGGAUAGCCCGGCGAAAGCCGGAUUAAUACCGCAUACGAUCUACGGAUGAAAGCGGGGGACCUUCGGGCCUCGCGCUAUCGGGUUGGCCGAUGGCUGAUUAGCUAGUUGGUGGGGUAAAGGCCUACCAAGGCGACGAUCAGUAGCUGGUCUGAGAGGACGACCAGCCACACUGGGACUGAGACACGGCCCAGACUCCUACGGGAGGCAGCAGUGGGGAAUUUUGGACAAAGGGCGAAAGCCUGAUCCAGCAAUGCCGCGUGUGUGAAGAAGGCCUUCGGGUUGUAAAGCACUUUUGUCCGGAAAGAAAUCCUUGGCCCUAAUACGGUCGGGGGAUGACGGUACCGGAAGAAUAAGCACCGGCUAACUACGUG
Molecule: ribosomal RNA, 486 nt
Filed under: uncultured bacterium
Lineage: Bacteria
Description: partial 16S ribosomal RNA
Rfam family: Bacterial small subunit ribosomal RNA
Source: RNAcentral